GGGACACGUGGUAUCCUGUCUGAAUAUGGGGGGACCAUCCUCCAAGGCUAAAUACUCCUGACUGACCGAUAGUGAACCAGUACCGUGAGGGAAAGGCGAAAAGAACCCCGGCGAGGGGAGUGAAAAAGAACCUGAAACCGUGUACGUACAAGCAGUGGGAGCCUCUUAAUGGGGUGACUGCGUACCUUUUGUAUAAUGGGUCAGCGACUUAUAUUCUGUAGCAAGGUUAACCGAAUAGGGGAGCCGAAGGGAAACCGAGUCUUAACUGGGCGUUAAGUUGCAGGGUAUAGACCCGAAACCCGGUGAUCUAGCCAUGGGCAGGUUGAAGGUUGGGUAACACUAACUGGAGGACCGAACCGACUAAUGUUGAAAAAUUAGCGGAUGACUUGUGGCUGGGGGUGAAAGGCCAAUCAAACCGGGAGAUAGCUGGUUCUCCCCGAAAGCUAUUUAGGUAGCGCCUCGUGAAUUCAUCUCCGGGGGUAGAGCACUGUUUCGGCAAGGGGGUCAUCCCGACUUACCAACCCGAUGCAAACUGCGAAUACCGGAGAAUGUUAUCACGGGAGACACACGGCGGGUGCUAACGUCCGUCGUGAAGAGGGAAACAACCCAGACCGCCAGCUAAGGUCCCAAAGUCAUGGUUAAGUGGGAAACGAUGUGGGAAGGCCCAGACAGCCAGGAUGUUGGCUUAGAAGCAGCCAUCAUUUAAAGAAAGCGUAAUAGCUCACUGGUCGAGUCGGCCUGCGCGGAAGAUGUAACGGGGCUAAACCAUGCACCGAAGCUGCGGCAGCGACACUAUGUGUUGUUGGGUAGGGGAGCGUUCUGUAAGCCUGUGAAGGUGGCCUGUGAGGGUUGCUGGAGGUAUCAGAAGUGCGAAUGCUGACAUAAGUAACGAUAAAGCGGGUGAAAAGCCCGCUCGCCGGAAGACCAAGGGUUCCUGUCCAACGUUAAUCGGGGCAGGGUGAGUCGACCCCUAAGGCGAGGCCGAAAGGCGUAGUCGAUGGGAAACAGGUUAAUAUUCCUGUACUUGGUGUUACUGCGAAGGGGGGACGGAGAAGGCUAUGUUGGCCGGGCGACGGUUGUCCCGGUUUAAGCGUGUAGGCUGGUUUUCCAGGCAAAUCCGGAAAACCAAGGCUGAGGCGUGAUGACGAGGCACUACGGUGCUGAAGCGACAAAUGCCCUGCUUCCAGGAAAAGCCUCUAAGCAUCAGGUAACAUCAAAUCGUACCCCAAACCGACACAGGUGGUCAGGUAGAGAAUACCAAGGCGCUUGAGAGAACUCGGGUGAAGGAACUAGGCAAAAUGGUGCCGUAACUUCGGGAGAAGGCACGCUGAUAUGUAGGUGAAGCGACUUGCUCGUGGAGCUGAAAUCAGUCGAAGAUACCAGCUGGCUGCAACUGUUUAUUAAAAACACAGCACUGUGCAAACACGAAAGUGGACGUAUACGGUGUGACGCCUGCCCGGUGCCGGAAGGUUAAUUGAUGGGGUUAGCGGUAACGCGAAGCUCUUGAUCGAAGCCCCGGUAAACGGCGGCCGUAACUAUAACGGUCCUAAGGUAGCGAAAUUCCUUGUCGGGUAAGUUCCGACCUGCACGAAUGGCGUAAUGAUGGCCAGGCUGUCUCCACCCGAGACUCAGUGAAAUUGAACUCGCUGUGAAGAUGCAGUGUACCCGCGGCAAGACGGAAAGACCCCGUGAACCUUUACUAUAGCUUGACACUGAACAUUGAGCCUUGAUGUGUAGGAUAGGUGGGAGGCUUUGAAGUGUGGACGCCAGUCUGCAUGGAGCCGACCUUGAAAUACCACCCUUUAAUGUUUGAUGUUCUAACGUUGGCCCCUAAUCGGGGUUGCGGACAGUGUCUGGUGGGUAGUUUGACUGGGGCGGUCUCCUCCUAAAGAGUAACGGAGGAGCACGAAGGUUGGCUAAUCCUGGUCGGACAUCAGGAGGUUAGUGCAAUGGCAUAAGCCAGCUUGACUGCGAGCGUGACGGCGCGAGCAGGUGCGAAAGCAGGUCAUAGUGAUCCGGUGGUUCUGAAUGGAAGGGCCAUCGCUCAACGGAUAAAAGGUACUCCGGGGAUAACAGGCUGAUACCGCCCAAGAGUUCAUAUCGACGGCGGUGUUUGGCACCUCGAUGUCGGCUCAUCACAUCCUGGGGCUGAAGUAGGUCCCAAGGGUAUGGCUGUUCGCCAUUUAAAGUGGUACGCGAGCUGGGUUUAGAACGUCGUGAGACAGUUCGGUCCCUAUCUGCCGUGGGCGCUGGAGAACUGAGGGGGGCUGCUCCUAGUACGAGAGGACCGGAGUGGACGCAUCACUGGUGUUCGGGUUGUCAUGCCAAUGGCACUGCCCGGUAGCUAAAUGCGGAAGAGAUAAGUGCUGAAAGCAUCUAAGCACGAAACUUGCCCCGAGAUGAGUUCUCCCUGACUCCUUGAGAGUCCUGAAGGAACGUUGAAGACGACGACGUUGAUAGGCCGGGUGUGUAAGCGCAGCGAUGCGUUGAGCUAACCGGUACUAAUGAACCGUGAGGCUUAACCUUACAACGCCGAAG
This 2538-nucleotide ribosomal RNA is filed under the name Escherichia coli. RNAcentral's name for it is "partial 23S ribosomal RNA". It matches the Rfam family "Bacterial large subunit ribosomal RNA", at positions 419 to 2925 of the family's 2925-position model. Lineage: Bacteria; Pseudomonadati; Pseudomonadota; Gammaproteobacteria; Enterobacterales; Enterobacteriaceae. The record is from RNAcentral.